Molecule: ribosomal RNA, 245 nt
Filed under: uncultured bacterium
Lineage: Bacteria
Description: partial 16S ribosomal RNA
Rfam family: Bacterial small subunit ribosomal RNA
Source: RNAcentral
CGCGUAGGUAACCUGCCUGGUAGCGGGGGAUAACUAUUGGAAACGAUAGCUAAUACCGCAUAAUAGCUUUAAUUGCAUGAUUGAAGUUUGAAAGAUGCAACUGCAUCACUACCAGAUGGACCUGCGUUGUAUUAGCUAGUAGGUGAGGUAAAGGCUCACCUAGGCGACGAUACAUAGCCGACCUGAGAGGGUGAACGGCCACACUGGGACUGAGACACGGCCCAGACUCCUACGGAAGGCAGCAG